GGGAGGGGGGUCUGGGGGUGGGGGGGAGUCGCCGUCGCGUGCCGCGCUGGGGUCGGGUGUGUGUGCGUGUGCGUGUGUGUGGUGAGGGGGAGGGGUGGCAUCAUCCCACGCGCGCGCACACACCACCCCCCCGCCGAGGCCGAUGCCUCUCGCUCCCGCCUUCCUGGGCGGCCGCCGCCGCCGCUGCCUCUGCUGCCCGUGGCCGUUACAGCGAGCGCUGCAGGGGCCGCGCCGACUCCGCCGCUGCCGGCCGCUACCGCCCCCCGCGGGCCGGGCCGCGGAGCGCAGGGCGCCGUCACCGCCUCCGCCGGGGCCCUCCUGCCGCCCCGCCUCCGUGUACCCCGGGAGCCAGCAAAGCCCCGGGCCGUCCUCCGGUGUCUGGGCAUCCUCCUCCCGGGCCUGCCAGCGCAGCGCCGGCCUCCUUCCUAACGCUUGACUAUGAAGGGGUACCAUGAGCGCCAUUGUCAUCCAUGCUGGCACAAAGACACGAAGGUAGGAAAUGGAGCAUAUGUGAGGACCAGAAGGUAGCCAUUCUGGCUGGAUCAUGGAGUGAAUAGAAGGGAAUAAUGUGUAAGAAGUCUGGAAAGGUCAGACAGAAACUAGUUGUGAAGAGCUAAAAAUGCUAAAUGUAGGAGUUUAUAUAUGAUCUUUGACAUAAUAAGAAUUUUUCCCAGGUAGGUAAUGGGGACAUGACCAGACAGACCUGUGCUUUAAGAACAUAAUUUUAACAGCUACACAGAGGAUGGAUUGAAAUGGGGAGUGACUUAAAGCAGGUAUACCAAUUAAAAGCUACUACUGGGGCAGUUAGGGGACACAGUGGAUAGAGCACAGGCACUGCAGUCAGAAGGACCUGAGUUCAAAUCUGACCUUAGAUGCUUAGUAGCUGUGUGACUCUGAGUAGCUCACUUAACCCGAAUUGCCUCAAAAAAAAAAAAAAAAGAGACUGUUACAGUAUUUCCAAGCAAGAGGUGAGGAGGGCCUGAACUAGGUUAGGGUUGUGUGAGUAAAAAGGAAAUGAAUGUGAUAGAUAUUGUGGAGAAAGAAAUUAUAAAAUCUGACAACUGAUUAAAUAAAUGGAAUAAAUGAGAAUGAGGAAAGGUUACA
This 1104-nucleotide long non-coding RNA is filed under the name Phascolarctos cinereus (koala). RNAcentral's name for it is "lncRNA (ENSPCIG00000036782.1)". Lineage: Eukaryota; Metazoa; Chordata; Mammalia; Diprotodontia; Phascolarctidae. The record is from RNAcentral.